GACGAACGCUGGCGGCGUGCUUAACACAUGCAAGUCGAACGGUGAACGAGGGAGCUUGCUCCCUCCGGAUCAGUGGCGAACGUGUGAGUAACACGUGAGCAAUCUGCCUCGAACUCUGGGAUAAGCGUUGGAAACGACGUCUAAUACCGGAUACGACGCUGCAGGGCAUCCUCUCCGCGUGGAAAGAACUUCGUUUCGGGAUGGGCUCGCGGCUUAUCAGCUUGUUGGUGAGGUAACGGCUCACCAAGGCGACGACGGGUAGCCGGCCUGAGAGGGUGACCGGCCACACUGGGACUGAGACACGGCCCAGACUCCUACGGGAGGCAGCAGUGGGGAAUAUUGCACAAUGGGCGGAAGCCUGAUGCAGCAACGCCGCGUGAGGGACGACGGCCUUCGGGUUGUAAACCGCUUUUAGCAGGGAAGAAGCGAAAGUGACGGUACCUGCAGAAAAAGCACCGGCUAACUACGUG
This 470-nucleotide ribosomal RNA is filed under the name uncultured bacterium. Its description in RNAcentral is "partial 16S ribosomal RNA". It matches the Rfam family "Bacterial small subunit ribosomal RNA", at positions 28 to 507 of the family's 1533-position model. The record is from RNAcentral.